RNAcentral lists this ribosomal RNA (403 nucleotides) under bacterium. Its description in RNAcentral is "partial 16S ribosomal RNA". It matches the Rfam family "Bacterial small subunit ribosomal RNA", at positions 355 to 776 of the family's 1533-position model. The record is from RNAcentral.
UGGGGAAUAUUGCACAAUGGAGGGAACUCUGAUGCAGCGACGCCGCGUGAACGAAGAAGGCUUUCGAGUCGUAAAGUUCUUUUAUAUGGGAAGAUAAUGACGGUACCAUAAGAAAAAGCCCCGGCUAACUACGUGCCAGCAGCCGCGGUAAUACGUAGGGGGCUAGCGUUGUCCGGAAUCACUGGGCGUAAAGGGUUCGCAGGCGGAAAUGCAAGUCAGGUGUAAAAGGAAGUAGCUUAACUACUGUAAGCAUUUGAAACUGCAUAUCUUGAGAAGAGUAGAGGUAAGUGGAAUUUUUAGUGUAGCGGUGAAAUGCGUAGAUAUUAAAAAGAAUACCGGUGGCGAAGGCGGCUUACUGGGCUCAUUCUGACGCUGAGGAACGAAAGCGUGGGUAGCAAACAGG